This is a long non-coding RNA of Pseudoliparis swirei, 288 nucleotides long. RefSeq lists it as uncharacterized. Lineage: Eukaryota; Metazoa; Chordata; Actinopteri; Perciformes; Liparidae. The transcript is spliced from 3 exons. The record is from RefSeq and is a predicted model, not a curated record.
GCGGCCCGUCCCUUGUUCCAGGUGGAUGUGUUCUCCUUCGGCAUCGUGCUCUGUGAGGUUCUGGCCCGGAUCUCUGCCGACCCAGAGAUGCUCCCCAGGACACAGGACUACGGGCUGGACGUGGAGGCCUUCAGGCAGCUGGUGGACGACUGUCCUCAGCGUCUCCUGGAGCUCGCCGCCAGCUGCUGCAUGGUGGAGUCCUUCCGGCGGCCGGCGUUCACUGAGCUGCUGGAUGAGUUGGAAGAAGUCUCAGAGAGUCUGGAGCCGCCGCCGCCAUCCAACGCCACC